Molecule: ribosomal RNA, 253 nt
Filed under: uncultured bacterium
Lineage: Bacteria
Description: partial 16S ribosomal RNA
Rfam family: Bacterial small subunit ribosomal RNA
Source: RNAcentral
UACAGAGGUGGCAAGCGUUGUUCGGAAUUACUGGGCGUAAAGGGCGCGUAGGCGGCCUUCUAAGUCAGACGUGAAAUCCCCAGGCUUAACCCCGGGCCUGCAGUGGGUACGGGCAGACUAGAGUGCGGUAGGGGAGACUGGAAUUCCUGGUGUAGCGGUGAAAUGCGCAGAUAUCAGGAGGAACACCGGUGGCGAAGGCGGGUCUCUGGGCCGUAACUGACGCUGAGGAGCGAAAGCGUGGGGAGCGAACAGG